RNAcentral lists this ribosomal RNA (1351 nucleotides) under uncultured bacterium. Its description in RNAcentral is "bacterial SSU rRNA". It matches the Rfam family "Bacterial small subunit ribosomal RNA", at positions 140 to 1471 of the family's 1533-position model. The record is from RNAcentral.
GGGAUAACUCCGGGAAACCGGGGCUAAUACCAGAUAAUACAUUGAACCGCAUGGUUCAAUGUUGAAAGACGGUUUCGGCUGUCACUUAUAGAUGGACCCGCGCCGUAUUAGCUAGUUGGUAAGGUAACGGCUUACCAAGGCAACGAUACGUAGCCGACCUGAGAGGGUGAUCGGCCACACUGGAACUGAGACACGGUCCAGACUCCUACGGGAGGCAGCAGUAGGGAAUCUUCCGCAAUGGGCGAAAGCCUGACGGAGCAACGCCGCGUGAGUGAUGAAGGUCUUAGGAUCGUAAAACUCUGUUGUUAGGGAAGAACAAAUUUGUUAGUAACUGAACAAGUCUUGACGGUACCUAACCAGAAAGCCACGGCUAACUACGUGCCAGCAGCCGCGGUAAUACGUAGGUGGCAAGCAUUAUCCGGAAUUAUUGGGCGUAAAGCGCGCGUAGGCGGUUUCUUAAGUCUGAUGUGAAAGCCCACGGCUCAACCGUGGAGGGUCAUUGGAAACUGGGGAACUUGAGUGCAGAAGAGGAGAGUGGAAUUCCAUGUGUAGCGGUGAAAUGCACAGAGAUAUGGAGGAACACCAGUGGCGAAGGCGGCUCUCUGGUCUGUAACUGACGCUGAUGUGCGAAAGCGUGGGGAUCAAACAGGAUUUAGAUACCCUGGUAGUCCACGCCGUAAACGAUGAGUGCUAAGUGUUAGGGGGUUUCCGCCCCUUAGUGCUGCAGCUAACGCAUUAAGCACUCCGCCUGGGGAGUACGACCGCAAGGUUGAAACUCAAAGGAAUUGACGGGGACCCGCACAAGCGGUGGAGCAUGUGGUUUAAUUCGAAGCAACGCGAAGAACCUUACCAAAUCUUGACAUCCUUUGACCGCUCUAGAGAUAGAGUCUUCCCCUUCGGGGGACAAAGUGACAGGUGGUGCAUGGUUGUCGUCAGCUCGUGUCGUGAGAUGUUGGGUUAAGUCCCGCAACGAGCGCAACCCUUAAGCUUAGUUGCCAUCAUUAAGUUGGGCACUCUAGGUUGACUGCCGGUGACAAACCGGAGGAAGGUGGGGAUGACGUCAAAUCAUCAUGCCCCUUAUGAUUUGGGCUACACGCGUGCUACAAUGGAUAAUACAAAGGGCAGCGAACCCGCGAGGUCAAGCAAAUCCCAUAAAAUUAUUCUCAGUUCGGAUUGUAGUCUGCAACUCGACUACAUGAAGCUGGAAUCGCUAGUAAUCGUAGAUCAGCAUGCUACGGUGAAUACGUUCCCGGGUCUUGUACACACCGCCCGUCACACCACGAGAGUUUGUAACACCCGAAGCCGGUGGAGUAACCAAAUAUUAGGAGCUAGCCGUCGAAGGUGGGACAGA